AGAGUUUGAUCCUGGCUCAGGAUUAACGCUGGCGGUACGUCUAAUACAUGCAAGUCGAACGGAGCACAUGUGCUCAGUGGCGAACGGGUGAGUAACAUGUAGGUAACCUGCCCUUAAGACGAGGAUAACUCUGGGAAACUAGAGCUAAUACUGGAUUGGAAGCGACCUUGGCAUCAAGGAAGCUUGAAAGGUGCGAUAGCACCGCUUAAGGAGGGGCCUGCGGCGCAUUAGUUAGUUGGUGAGGUAACGGCUCACCAAGACAAUGAUGCGUAGCUGGACUGAGAGGUUGAACAGCCACACUGGGACUGAGAACGGCCCAGACUCCUACGGGAGGCAGCAGUAGAGAAUCUUCGGCAAUGGGGGGAACCCUGACCGAGCGAUACCGCGUGAUUGAAGAAAUACUUCGGUAUGUAAAGAUCUUUUACAAAGGAUGAAUGGCGUCAGUAGGAAAUGACUGACGAGUGACAGUACUUUAGGAAUAAGCCCCGGCUAACUAUGUGCCAGCAGCCGCGGUAAUACAUAGGGGGCAAGCGUUAUCCGGAAUUAUUGGGCGUAAAGGGUGCGUAGGCGGCUAGUUAAGUUCAAGGUCUAAAUUUAAGGCUCAACCUUAAAAUGCUUUGAAAACUGGCUAGCUUGAGAGAGGUAGAGGCAAGUGGAAUUCCAUGUGUAGCGGUAAAAUGCGUAAAUAUAUGGAGGAACACCAGUGGCGAAGGCGGCUUGCUGGGCCUUAUCUGACGCUGAUGCACGAAAGCGUGGGGAGCAAACAGGAUUAGAUACCCUGGUAGUCCACGCCGUAAACGAUGAGUACUAAGUGUCGGCAAAAGUCGGUGCUGCAGUUAACGCAUUAAGUACUCCGCCUGAGUAGUACGUGCGCAAGCAUAAAACUCAAAGGAAUUGGCGGGACCUCGCACAAGCGGUGGAUCAUGUUGUUUAAUUCGACGAUACGCGAAGAACCUUACCAGGCCUUGACAUACCGAGCGAUGCUAUGGAAACAUAGUGGAGGUUAACUGGGAUACAGGUGGUGCAUGGUUGUCGUCAGCUCGUGUCGUGAGAUGUUGGGUUAAGUCCCGCAACGAGCGCAACUCUUAUCGCUAUUUGCCAUCAUUAAGUUGGGGACUAUAGCGAGACUGCCAGUGACAAACUGGAGGAAGGUGGGAAUGACGUCAAAUCAUCAUGCCCCUUAUGGUCUGGGCUACAAACGUGAUACAAUGGUUGGUACAAAGGGAGGCGAAGCCGUGAGGCCAAGCGAACCCCAUAAAACCAAUCUCAGUUCGGAUUGAAGUCUGCAACUCGACUUCAUGAAGUCGGAAUCGCUAGUAAUCGUAGAUCAGAACGCUACGGUGAAUACAAUCUCGAGGUUUGCACUCACCGCCCGUCAA
Molecule: ribosomal RNA, 1379 nt
Filed under: uncultured bacterium
Lineage: Bacteria
Description: bacterial SSU rRNA
Rfam family: Bacterial small subunit ribosomal RNA
Source: RNAcentral